Molecule: ribosomal RNA, 463 nt
Filed under: uncultured bacterium
Lineage: Bacteria
Description: partial 16S ribosomal RNA
Rfam family: Bacterial small subunit ribosomal RNA
Source: RNAcentral
GACGAACGCUGGCGGCACGCCUAACACAUGCAAGUCGAACGGACUUAAAAGAGCUUGCUUUUUUAAGUUAGUGGCGGACGGGUGAGUAACACGUGAGCAACCUGCCUCUGAGAGGGGGAUAGCUUCUGGAAACGGAUGGUAAUACCCCAUAAAAUAUAAAUAUCGCAUGAUAGAUAUAUCAAAGAAAUUCGCUCAGAGAUGGGCUCGCGUCUGAUUAGAUAGUUGGUGGGGUAACGGCUCACCAAGUCGACGAUCAGUAGCCGGACUGAGAGGUUGAACGGCCACAUUGGGACUGAGACACGGCCCAGACUCCUACGGGAGGCAGCAGUGGGGAAUAUUGCACAAUGGAGGGAACUCUGAUGCAGCGAUGCCGCGUGGAGGAAGAAGGUUUUCGGAUUGUAAACUCCUUUUAUCAGGGACGAUAAUGACGGUACCUGAAGAAAAAGCACCGGCUAACUACGUG